This 596-nucleotide ribosomal RNA is filed under the name Vishniacozyma victoriae. RNAcentral's name for it is "eukaryotic LSU rRNA". It matches the Rfam family "Eukaryotic large subunit ribosomal RNA", at positions 62 to 648 of the family's 3401-position model. RNAcentral also lists the same sequence under 2 other names. Lineage: Eukaryota; Fungi; Basidiomycota; Tremellomycetes; Tremellales; Bulleribasidiaceae. The record is from RNAcentral.
AAACUAACUAGGAUUCCCUUAGUAACGGCGAGUGAACCGGGAUGAGCUCAAAUUUAAAAUCUGGCGUCUUUCAGGCGUCCGAGUUGUAAUCUAUAGAGGCGUUUUCCGCGCCGGACCGCGUCCAAGUCUCUUGGAAUAGAGUAUCAAAGAGGGUGACAAUCCCGUACUUGACGCGACAACCGGUGCUCUGUGAUACGUUCUCAAUGAGUCGAGUUGUUUGGGAAUGCAGCUCUAAAUGGGUGGUAAAUUCCAUCUAAGGCUAAAUAUUGGCGAGAGACCGAUAGCGAACAAGUACCGUGAGGGAAAGAUGAAAAGCACUUUGGAAAGAGAGUUAAACAGCACGUGAAAUUGUUAAAAGGGAAACGAUUGAAGUCAGUCGUGUGAAAGGUAUUCAGCCGUCUCUGGCGGUGUAUUUGCCUUUCACGGGUCAACAUCAGUUUGAUCCGGUAGAAAAAGGCAGGAGGAAGGUGGCACCCUCGGGUGUGUUAUAGCCUCUUGUCAUAUGUGCCGGACCAGACUGAGGAACGCAGCUUGCCGCAAGGCCGGGGUUCGCCCACGUACAAGCUUAGGAUGUUGACAUAAUGGCUUUAAACGAC